GCUUUGCUUAGAUGAAAGUGUGAAAUUUUAGUUACGAAUGGGAUUGGCUGGUGUGGCAUCUCUGGUGCUGUUUAUUUUGACACUGACUUUGUCAUGCAGGAUGUUUGCACAGGUAAUUCCAGUCCCACAGCAGGCUCCUGUGGUACCCUGCAGAUUUUUUAAAUUCCCCCAGGGAUGGUGACUCCUCCACUGCCCUGGACAGCCUGAGUCAGUGCCUGACCACUCUUUCCAUGAAGAAAUUAUCCCCAGUAGCCAAUCUAAACUUCCCCUGGCACAAUUUGAGGCCAUUUCCUCUCAUCCUUGUUCCCUGGGAGCAGUGCCUGACCCUCACCUGGUUGCACCCUCCUGUCAGUGAAAAGCCAGAAGGUCCCUGUGCAAGAGAAGAGGAUGGGGCCCUUCCCAACGUGGGGCAGCUGGGACCCUCCCUUCUGGAGCCUGAUGGAUGUAGAUGCCCUGUUGGGAUCCAAGUGCUACAUUGCAGUGGGCAGCAAAAUGGAUUUGUUUCUCCCACUGCAUGAGAAUAUGAUCACCAUGUAACUUUGAA
This is a long non-coding RNA of Vidua chalybeata, 544 nucleotides long. RefSeq lists it as uncharacterized. The transcript has 2 exons. The record is from RefSeq and is a predicted model, not a curated record. NCBI's taxonomy places the organism in Eukaryota, Metazoa, Chordata, Aves, Passeriformes, Viduidae.